CACUCCUACGGGAGGCAGCAGUGGGGAAUUUUGGACAAUGGGCGAAAGCCUGAUCCAGCAAUGCCGCGUGAGUGAAGAAGGCCUUCGGGUUGUAAAGCUCUUUUGUCAGGGAAGAAACGGUGAAAGCUAAUAUCUUUUGCUAAUGACGGUACCUGAAGAAUAAGCACCGGCUAACUACGUGCCAGCAGCCGCGGUAAUACGUAGGGUGCAAGCGUUAAUCGGAAUUACUGGGCGUAAAGCGUGCGCAGGCGGUUUUGUAAGUCUGAUGUGAAAUCCCCGGGCUCAACCUGGGAAUUGCAUUGGAGACUGCAAGGCUAGAAUCUGGCAGAGGGGGGUAGAAUUCCACGUGUAGCAGUGAAAUGCGUAGAUAUGUGGAGGAACACCGAUGGCGAAGGCAGCCCCCUGGGUCAAGAUUGACGCUCAUGCACGAAAGCGUGGGGAGCAAACAGGAUUAGAUACCCUGGUAGUCC
This 470-nucleotide ribosomal RNA is filed under the name uncultured organism. RNAcentral's name for it is "partial 16S ribosomal RNA". It matches the Rfam family "Bacterial small subunit ribosomal RNA", at positions 334 to 796 of the family's 1533-position model. The record is from RNAcentral.